Molecule: transfer RNA, 72 nt
Filed under: Pseudanthias dispar (peach fairy basslet)
Lineage: Eukaryota; Metazoa; Chordata; Actinopteri; Perciformes; Anthiadidae
Also listed under: 1 other name
Description: tRNA-Asp
Rfam family: tRNA
About the family: Transfer RNA (tRNA) molecules are approximately 80 nucleotides in length. Their secondary structure includes four short double-helical elements and three loops (D, anti-codon, and T loops).
Source: RNAcentral
AAGACACUCGUCUAAUACUGAGGACACUGCUUUGUCAAAACAGAAAUGUGGGUUAAAACCCUGCGUGUCUUG